This 301-nucleotide ribosomal RNA is filed under the name uncultured bacterium. Its description in RNAcentral is "partial 16S ribosomal RNA". It matches the Rfam family "Bacterial small subunit ribosomal RNA", at positions 509 to 807 of the family's 1533-position model. The record is from RNAcentral.
CAGUAGCCACGGUAAUACGAAGGGGGCUAGCGUUGUUCGGAAUUACUGGGCGUAAAGCGCACGUAGGCGGACAUUUAAGUCAGGGGUGAAAUCCCGGGGCUCAACCCCGGAACUGCCUUUGAUACUGGGUGUCUAGAGUAUGGAAGAGGUGAGUGGAAUUCCGAGUGUAGAGGUGAAAUUCGUAGAUAUUCGGAGGAACACCAGUGGCGAAGGCGGCUCACUGGUCCAUUACUGACGCUGAGGUGCGAAAGCGUGGGGAGCAAACAGGAUUAGAUACCCCUGUAGUCCCUGUCUCUUAUAC